GACAGAGGUGCCGAGCGUUAGGCGGAAUCACUGGGCUUAAAGCGUGUGUAGGCGGGUCGUUAAGUGUCUUGUGAAAUCCCACCGCUCAACGGUGGAACCGCUGGGCAUACUGGCGAUCUUGAGCAGUCCAGGGGAGAACGGAAUUCCUGGUGUAGCGGUGAAAUGCGCAGAUAUCAGGAGGAACACCGGUGGCGAAGGCGGUUCUCUGGGCAUUACCUGACGCUGAGGAGCGAAAGUGUGGGGAGCGAACAGG
This 253-nucleotide ribosomal RNA is filed under the name uncultured bacterium. RNAcentral's name for it is "partial 16S ribosomal RNA". It matches the Rfam family "Bacterial small subunit ribosomal RNA", at positions 524 to 776 of the family's 1533-position model. The record is from RNAcentral.